AUGGGCGCAAGCCUGAUCCAGCAAUGCCGCGUGCAGGAUGAAGGCCUUCGGGUUGUAAACUGCUUUUGUACGGAACGAAAAGCUUUGGGCUAAUACCCUGGAGUCAUGACGGUACCGUAAGAAUAAGCACCGGCUAACUACGUGCCAGCAGCCGCGGUAAUACGUAGGGUGCAAGCGUUAAUCGGAAUUACUGGGCGUAAAGCGUGCGCAGGCGGUUUUGUAAGACAGAGGUGAAAUCCCCGGGCUCAACCUGGGAACUGCCUUUGUGACUGCAAGGCUAGAGUACGGCAGAGGGGGAUGGAAUUCCGCGUGUAGCAGUGAAAUGCGUAGAUAUGCGGAGGAACACCGAUGGCGAAGGCAAUCCCCUGGGCCUGUACUGACGCUCAUGCACGAAAGCGUGGGGAGCAAACAGGAUUAGAUACCCUGGUAGUCCACGCCCUAAACGAUGUCAACUGGUUGUUGGGUCUUAACUGACUCAGUAACGAAGCUAACGCGUGAAGUUGACCGCCUGGGGAGUACG
This 520-nucleotide ribosomal RNA is filed under the name uncultured bacterium. Its description in RNAcentral is "bacterial SSU rRNA". It matches the Rfam family "Bacterial small subunit ribosomal RNA", at positions 371 to 884 of the family's 1533-position model. The record is from RNAcentral.